RNAcentral lists this small RNA (96 nucleotides) under Halpernia frigidisoli. RNAcentral describes it as "Flavo-1 RNA". It matches the Rfam family "Flavo-1 RNA". The record is from Rfam by way of RNAcentral. Lineage: Bacteria; Pseudomonadati; Bacteroidota; Flavobacteriia; Flavobacteriales; Weeksellaceae.
UUUUAGCCGCGGGUGAAGCGGCAUCCUUUUUCAUAAAAUAGGCGCCUUUUCGGCGCCUAUUUUAUGAAAAAGAUAUAGCGGAACACGGGAUUGCUU